CUGGAUGAACCUUUUGUGCACUUGUCUCAAGUCUUGUUUCUGGGCUAAUCUUUUCUGUUCCUGAUUGCACUUCCUGGGCCUGAUUUAUCCCCUUGUAGUGCCUGAAACUGUUGGCAAAUCCUGUUACCAGCACCCAGCUGUGCUGUCUCCAGCCUCUGUAGGACUGUGCCUUCAGUGAGGGCCCUGCUUGUGCUGGAUCUAGCCUUGGCUGCUGGCUUGCCCUCCUUUCCCUUGGGGAGCAUCUCCCAGUAGUUCAGUGUCCAGAUGCUGGCAAAGGCACUUAACUGACAGAUGAGUCACUGGGUCUUUGUGCUGCAGCUUGUUCCUCCAUUAAAUAAAGAAAACUUAGUUUGGGGAAUCUUGCAAGUCAUGAGAAUAUACUCUUUUGUGACUAUGGAGUCACUGACACCAAUUCUGUUUAUAACAACUUAACAAGCUCAGCUCUGAGGAGACAUUCCACAUCACAUUCUCUCUGCUUUAAAUAGGACAUUUGUAAAGCAAAAUCACAUCUGCUUUCAUGGUGAACGCUU
Long non-coding RNA from Neopsephotus bourkii (Bourke's parrot), 530 nucleotides. RefSeq lists it as uncharacterized. The record is from RefSeq and is a predicted model, not a curated record. NCBI's taxonomy places the organism in Eukaryota, Metazoa, Chordata, Aves, Psittaciformes, Psittacidae. The transcript is spliced from 3 exons.